AGAGUUUGAUUAUGGCUCAGGAUGAACGCUGGCGGCGUGCCUAAUACAUGCAAGUCGAACGAGGUAGCAAUACCGAGUGGCGAACGGGUGAGUAACACGUAGGUAACCUGCCCUUAAGCUUGGGAUACCCAGAGGAAACUUUGGCUAAUACCGGAUAACAACAGAGAAGGCAUCUUCUUUGCUUGAAAGGCCCCUUCAAGGGUCACUUAAGGAUGGACCUGCGGCGCAUUAGCUAGUUGGUGAGAUAACAGCCCACCAAGGCGAGGAUGCGUAGCCGAACUGAGAGGUUGAUCGGCCACAUUGGAACUGAGACACGGUACCAAACUCCGUACGGGAGGCAGCAGUAAGGUAGUUUCGGCAAUGGGGGAAACCCUGACCGAGCAACGCCGCGUGAGCGAUGACGGCCCUAUGGGUUGUAAAAAGCUCUGUUGUAAGCCAUGAAUGAUAGCUUGAGGAAAUGCAAGCUAUUUGACGACAGCUUACCAGAAAGCCACGGCUAACUACGUGCCAGCAGCCGC
RNAcentral lists this ribosomal RNA (518 nucleotides) under uncultured bacterium. Its description in RNAcentral is "bacterial SSU rRNA". It matches the Rfam family "Bacterial small subunit ribosomal RNA", at positions 8 to 518 of the family's 1533-position model. The record is from RNAcentral.